UGAGGAAUAUUGGUCAAUGGGAGCAAUCCUGAACCAGCCAUGCCGCGUGAAGGAUGACGGCCCUCUGGGUUGUAAACUUCUUUUGGAUGGGGCGAAAAAACGGGAUUUAUCCUGGACUGACGGUACCAUCAGAAUAAGCACCGGCUAACUCCGUGCCAGCAGCCGCGGUAAUACGGAGGGUGCAAGCGUUAUCCGGAAUCACUGGGUUUAAAGGGUGCGUAGGCGGUUGUAUAAGUCAGGGGUGAAAGCACGCAGCUUAACUGUGUAAUUGCCUUUGAUACUGUACGGCUUGAAUAGGGUUGAGGUUGGCGGAAUGUGACAUGUAGCGGUGAAAUGCAUAGAUAUGUCAUAGAACACCGAUUGCGAAGGCAGCUGACUGGGCCUAUAUUGACGCUGAGCACG
Molecule: ribosomal RNA, 402 nt
Filed under: uncultured bacterium
Lineage: Bacteria
Description: bacterial SSU rRNA
Rfam family: Bacterial small subunit ribosomal RNA
Source: RNAcentral